AUUGUUUUUUACAAAACCACUGGCAAGGGAAAGGUAGUCGUUCCUCAUAAAGGGUGAGUGCCUUGCGGCCAUGGUUAAUGACCACAGUCACUGCUGUCGCGGCCCUAUCCCAGGCGCCCAUCAUUCAGCACUUAAACAGGCUGGGAAUGGGCGUGCCCUGAGCCUCUGCCAGACAGAGCCAACACCCUCCUGUUGAGGAGGACACAGACUCCUUUGGGGUCUGGGCUUAGUCUUUCCCACUUACCACCUAGGGCAUUAGCCAUGCGAGCCUGCAGCUCUUUGAAAGACACCAUCUUUGCUCUGGAGAAGAACAGGAGGCUCAUCUGUCCUCAGAAAGGACACAGGAAUUGGAAGACUUGCCUCAAGCCUAAAUUGCAAGCGCCGGGGUCUCGUCCGGUGGGUCUGAUACCUGUGCUUGUCCCCGAAGCCGUCUGAUAGGGCCAGCGUCCCCGCUGCCACUCGGAAAACACUUGCGGACCCUUCUGUGCCAGCAACUCGUGCCUGCAAGGCCAGAGAAGGCCGCCGCUCUGCAGAGCUGUUCUAGAACGUUCUAAGAGUGUGACCUCAUUCCUCGAUGGCUGACCCUUCAACAUGCAGACCACGAAAAAGGACAAGAUGCAGCAUACGUUUUCUCACUUGAAGAAGAUAAAGUUGAUGUUAUUUUUAUAAAGUUAUAAUGUCUUGACUUCAUGAAUCAAGGGAAUUAAGCAAAGUCUAAAAGAUGACUUUAAGCCGCUCUACAACGUAUAUGGAAGAAGCUAAAAACUUCAGUGAAUCCAGGGUUAUUUUUCCAGGCGAGAAUAUUCUCUCCAGUGCAUUUGCCCUUUCACGGCACCGGGAGGCAUGCUUUUUCCCUUCUGCAUCGUGUUUAAGGAUGAUUUUUCAGCAAAAAUUCUAGAAAUUAGCCGUUUCACUGUUAAAGCAAAUGUUUUCGCUACUCAUGCCUCUGAUUGGCCAAUCCGCGGAUGUGACAGUUUCAAAAUUUGUGUGGAACAGGAGGGACCAGAUGUAGAGGAAAGCAGGCAUCCCGCUCAGGAAAGCCCACGGCAGCAACACACAGCCAUCCAUUUGGAGCAAGACCUAGCUUGACAUGUGAUUUGAAAUGCGUCCUGUGGACACCAGAAACUAUUGUUUUAAGGCCUUCACGGGCCUUUACAGGAUAUCCUUUACCCAUUCACAGGGAGCUUUAACUCCCCGAAAAAGAUCAAAGUGUGAUCUUUCUCUGAUGAUUUGAAAAAUGUCACUCGGAAUUUGUAGUCGGGCCGGUUGGACACAGCAUUUGACUUUUCGAUGGAAUUGAUUUUCACAUCAAGAAGAAAGCCAAAUUCUCAAAGUCAGGCCCUUUUUCACUUGCUGUAAAUGUAUGAACGUAAUUUUGUUCGGGGAAGUGUUCCUGGGUCAUUUGGAGACGCCUGCUGAAUUAUCUCCACACCCCCGAGGACUGGCGACGUUUGUGCCCGGAGAGGAGGUGGGCUUCAGAGGAGCAUAGGACAGGUGGUGGCUGGGUGGCCAUGGGCAGGUGGAGUGGGUGUCUCCCAGACAAGAACAAUGGUAGAAAUGGGGCAAGGAAGGCCGUAACUUGCAGGUUAAAAAAAAUAAAAUAAAUAAUCACUCCCUUUACACGAAGCACCAAAGAAAUGACUGACUAAAGUUGGCUGAUUCCUUCCCUCUUUACAGAGGGAGUUGAAUAGUAAUGAUUGUGAGACAUGGUCGCUUUAUUUUCGAUUAUGGAGCCACUGGAAUUAUGAAUAGCCCAUCGACUUCCCCUAAGGGCCCUGCGUACCCUCCAGCACCCUCCAGGAAGGCACCUGGCACCCAGAGCUAACCGUCCCCCCUCACCCCAUCUUUGCGUACCUUGCAGCCACCAGCAGGUCCAGGCAUGGGGGCUGGGUGGCCCCCUUUGGGGCCCUGUGGCCAGCUACAGACCUUCAUCACACGUCCACUGGGGCCACAAUAAGAUUCCCCAGACCAGCGACACCCAGCUUGCUGUUUAAGCCAUGCCCACUUCCAGAGGGAGCUUUAAUAGUUGAAAUGUUUGGAAAACAUUUUUCCCUGGAGACCUAACAUGAUUUCCCCUCCUCCCACGAAAGGUUGACUCCAGAGGUUUGAAUUCCUCAAUUACUUAAAUUCCUAUGAAUAUGAAUUUUUUUUCUUUUCAUGUGGCCACAUUUAGAAAAAGAGUUCUUUUCCUGUUAACUAAUGAAAGUCGAACUCGGGAAUACUACGGUUUCCUUGCGUUGUAAUGGACUUGAGAUUUCUUUCCCCCUCAAAGACUAACAUACCUGCCCUUUUAGAGCUGAGGGACCGGGAUGCCCUCCCCGUGGUGGCUGAUGCGGGGCCUCUCACUGACACAGCCAGGGGAGCACUGGUGAAUGCCGCACCCCAAAUAUUUAACUACCUUUAAUGAAAUCCGCACACACUCACUAUAGAAAGUGAGCUCACAGUAUAGGCAUGUCAUCAAAACCUACAGGAACAAUAACUGUGUUUUAAAAUUUCAGCAACUCACAUUCUUACAGCAAACUCCCCAACACCACGAUCUCAAAACCAUCUCUGAAAACUGGUCGUUCUGCUUCCGUAUUUUAUUUUGUUCUGAUCUAAAACAUCUUUGAUGUAAGGGUAGGGAAUGGAGAACUAUUUCUAACCGUGCACUCAAAAUUACAAAAGGAC
This is a long non-coding RNA of Lontra canadensis (Northern American river otter), 2667 nucleotides long. RefSeq lists it as uncharacterized. NCBI's taxonomy places the organism in Eukaryota, Metazoa, Chordata, Mammalia, Carnivora, Mustelidae. The transcript has 2 exons. The record is from RefSeq and is a predicted model, not a curated record.